AUGACGAUGCCAGUCCAGUGGUCCGAUCUCCCCGACGACCUCCUCCAGUUGGUCUACAGCAAGGUCGCCGGCCCGCUCAACCGCGCCCGCUUCGCGGCGGUAUGCAGGUCGUGGCGAGCCACCACAAUCACCUCGCCGCACGCGGCGCCGCCGGUCCUCCCGUGGCUCAUGUUCAGGGACGCCCGCGAGGACGACAACAAGACGAAGGUGUACUGCCCCGAGGAUGGCCGGGUCUUCCGCAUGUCGCUGCCGAGCCAGGCGGUCGGCAAGCGGUUCGUGGGAGCCCAUGACGGCGGCUGGGUCGCCGCGCUUGGGCACGACAUGCAGCUCGCGGUCGUGAACCUCUUCUCCAGUGUUGAGGUGCCGCUCCCCGCCAAGAACAUGUACACACUCUGCCUAGGUGGCGGCUGGAACGACAUCCGGAAGAUUGUGUUUUCAGAAUCCCCCGCCUCAACCGGCUGCAUCCUCGCUACCAUCACCCCCCGACACCGUCUCGCCUUAUGCAGGAUUGCUUGUCCGAACAACAAGUGGACGGAAGGAGGACCCGUAUACGGGCUUGUGGACAUCGUAUUCUGCAAUGGACAAUUAUUUGGCCUCACCAUGUUCGAGGAAUUGGUCAGGUUCCAAAUAGGUGUUGAUCAAGAUGGCAAGCCGAUGCUCACCGGCGAACCCCACGCAUUAUCAAUCCGAACAGGCAGCUGCCCUGCCAGGCAUCCGAAGAACAUCGUUGAUCUACACGGCAAGCCAGCCAUGGUGGUGAGGAACUGGUCGUCAUCAUGUGAAGCCUUUUGCGGGCCUUUCUUCAGGGUGUUUGAGCUUGUUGAUGGAUCGACGACGGCAGAGUACGCCCACGAGUGGGAGGAGGUAACAUGUCUAGGUGACUAUGCUGUUUUCUUGGGGAAAACGUGGUCCAAGGUUGUGUACAUGUCCACUGUUGGGCGCAGUGGGCUGCAAAGAAACUGCAUCUACAGUACCGAUGACAUGGCUGAUGGUGAUGAGCUGCUCCCUGCUGUUAGACAAGCCGGGCGCUGUUGGCCAGACCCAAAUUACACCGGCUACAAGGACCCAACAGGCUUUGCUGGAGUCGAAGAUGGCAAGGUCGAGGUAGGAGCUGCAGGGAGUAGGCAGAGUCGCAGAGGCAGGCAGCUAGCAUGUGGGCACAUCAAACAGAAGAUGAUGCGGUUGGCAUUGAUGGAGCUGCAGCCUGCAGGCGUGCACCAGCACUCAUCGGCCCUAACAACGCACAGCAUGGUGACAAGGGACGAGAACCAGCUCAGCCUUGGAUUCCUCAACGCACGGCAGGAAGUCAAAACUGAUACAUACUGGCAUCCAUCCCGGAGUCCUCGGCAUGGAGUAGAACGCCAUUUUAAGUUUCAGAAUGCUAUUUGGCGUUGUUCCUCCAUAGACACACUGGAGAAAAUAGACUCCUCACCAGGUUGGCCCCAGACUCCUCAAUACGGAGGAAGCGGUAGGCUACAGAGGGAGCAACAGACCGCGUCGAGCAACUUGUGGAAGAAGUGUGGCUACAGAGGGAGCAACAUACCGGAAUUGGGGAAACAGGUCAUCAACGUCUUCUUCCUCAUCUCCCUGAAAUCAUCUGCUUGA
Molecule: ribosomal RNA, 1605 nt
Filed under: Triticum aestivum (bread wheat)
Lineage: Eukaryota; Viridiplantae; Streptophyta; Magnoliopsida; Poales; Poaceae
Description: partial small subunit ribosomal RNA
Source: RNAcentral